Spinacia oleracea (spinach) is the source of this 288-nucleotide long non-coding RNA. RefSeq lists it as uncharacterized. The record is from RefSeq and is a predicted model, not a curated record. Lineage: Eukaryota; Viridiplantae; Streptophyta; Magnoliopsida; Caryophyllales; Amaranthaceae. The transcript has 3 exons.
AAGAACAAAACCAAGCCAGCCUAAAGAGUGUUUAUUUUCACCAGUUGCUGGACUUUCUUGAAGUUCUCUGCCUUAACUGUGACUAUCACCGUUGGAUAGAGAUCUUCUGUCAUGAUAUCAGUGUGCAUAUUCCUCAUCAUAUCUCUCCUAAAAUUCUAAGUCACGCACACAAUCAAAAUAUCUACAACUAUGGCGAAACCAAGAAACACAAGCAGAUCCACAGUCACUUUAAUCUGGUCUUCUCCUCUGUGCUUUUCGGAGUUACAAGAGACUAGGUGGACAAUCUAA